GGUAAACGCUGGCGGCGUGCCUAAAACAUGCAAGUCGAACGGCAGUUUUCGGACUGCAGUGGCAGACGGCUGAGUAACGCGUGGGUGACGUACCUAUCGAUGGGGAAUAACUGCCCGAAAGGGUGGCUAAUUCCGCAUACGUCCUGUGGUUCGUUUCUGCAGGGGAAAGCUUCGCAAGAGGCGUCGAUGGAGCGGCCCGCGUUCGAUUAGCUGGUUGGUGGGGUAACGGCCUACCAAGGCGACGAUCGAUAGCUGGUCUCAGAGGAUGAUCAGCCAGACUGGGACUGAGACACGGCCCAGACUCCUACGGGAGGCAGCAGUUAGGAAUUUUGGGCAAUGGGCGAAAGCCUGACCCAGCAACGCCGCGUGGGUGACGAA
RNAcentral lists this ribosomal RNA (378 nucleotides) under uncultured bacterium. RNAcentral describes it as "bacterial SSU rRNA". It matches the Rfam family "Bacterial small subunit ribosomal RNA", at positions 28 to 412 of the family's 1533-position model. The record is from RNAcentral.